GGAGGUUACUGCUAUCGGUGUUCGCCUAACCCAUGCGAGUCAUAUGUUCUUCGUGAACAUGGCGUACUGCUCAGUAACACGUGAAUAACCUGCCCUUGGGACCGGCAUAACCCCGGGAAACUGGGGAUAAUUCCGGAUACCGCAUAUAUGCUGGAAUGCUUUAUGCGUGAAAUGGAUUCGUCUGCCCAAGGAUGGAUCUGCGGCCUAUCAGGUAGUAGUGGGUGUAAUGUACCUACUACCCUACAACGGGUACGGGUUGUGAGAGCAAGAGCCCGGAAAUGGAUUCUGAGACAUGAAUCCAGGCCCUACGGGGCGCACCAGGCGCGAAAACUUUACAAUGCGGGAAACCGUGAUAAGGGGACACCGAGUGCCACCAACAUUUGUUGGCUGUCCAGGUGUGUAAACUACACCUGUUAGCAAGGGCCGGGCAAGACCGGUGC
This 440-nucleotide ribosomal RNA is filed under the name uncultured archaeon. RNAcentral describes it as "bacterial SSU rRNA". It matches the Rfam family "Archaeal small subunit ribosomal RNA", at positions 19 to 458 of the family's 1478-position model. The record is from RNAcentral.